This 406-nucleotide ribosomal RNA is filed under the name uncultured bacterium. RNAcentral's name for it is "partial 16S ribosomal RNA". It matches the Rfam family "Bacterial small subunit ribosomal RNA", at positions 30 to 526 of the family's 1533-position model. The record is from RNAcentral.
AUUGAACGCUGGCGGCAGGCCUAACACAUGCAAGUCGAACGAGUGGCGGACGGGUGCGUAAUGUCUGGGAAACUGCCUGAUGGAGGGGGAUAACUACUGGAAACGGUAGCUAAUACCGCAUCCCAUCAGAUGUGCCCAGAUGGGAUUAGCUUGUCGGUGGGGGAAAGGCGCACGUAGGCGACGAUCCCUAGCUGGUCUAAGAGGAUGACCAGCCACACUGGAAUUGAGACACGGUCCAGACUCCUACGGUAGGCAGCAGUGGGGAAUAUUGCACAAUGGGCGCAAGCCUGAUGCAGCAAUGCCGCGUGUAUGAAGAAGGCCUUCGGGUUGUAAAGUACUUUCAGCGGGGAGGCGUUACCCGCAGAAGAAGCACCGGCUAACUCCGUGCCAGCAGCCGCGGUAAUUC